AGUGAACGCUGGCGGUAGGCCUAACACAUGCAAGUCGAACGGCAGCACAGUAAGAGCUUGCUCUUACGGGUGGCGAGUGGCGGACGGGUGAGGAAUACAUCGGAAUCUACUUUUUCGUGGGGGAUAACGUAGGGAAACUUACGCUAAUACCGCAUACGACCUACGGGUGAAAGCAGGGGAUCUUCGGACCUUGCGCGAUUGAAUGAGCCGAUGUCGGAUUAGCUAGUUGGCGGGGUAAAGGCCCACCAAGGCGACGAUCCGUAGCUGGUCUGAGAGGAGGAUCACCCACACUGGAACGGAGACACGGUCAAGACUCCUACGGGAGGCAGCAGUGGGGAAUAUUGGACAAUGGGCGCAAGCCUGAUCCAGCCAUACCGCGUGGGUGAAGAAGGCCUUCGGGUUGUAAAGCCCUUUUGUUGGGAAAGAAAAGCAGCAGGUUAAUACCCCGCUGUUCUGACGGUACCCAAAGAAUAAGCACCGGCUAACUUCGUG
Molecule: ribosomal RNA, 492 nt
Filed under: uncultured bacterium
Lineage: Bacteria
Description: partial 16S ribosomal RNA
Rfam family: Bacterial small subunit ribosomal RNA
Source: RNAcentral